UAGACUUGACUUAGAAAGCUAAAAACAAAUUGACAAAAGAAACGUACAAAUAAAAACAACUAUUCAACAACCCCUCCCUUAAACUGAAAAAAAAAACUUUUGACUUCAGUUUAUGUGCAGCUUCUUCAUGCUAAAUUCUCCAAAGUGCAAAUUCCCAUUAACUUUAUCAAAUAUUAGAAGGGAAGCAAUUUGAGUGGUUUAGUAAAUAGAUCAGCCAGCUGUUCUUCACUUCUGCGGUACUUCAAAUUAAUUACUCCAUCAUUGUUGAGAUCUCUUAAAAAAUAAUACUUCACAUCAAUGUGCUUACUUCUUCCAUGAAGUACAGUAUUCUUGGAAAGUUUAAUAGUUGAAUUGUUGUCACAGAAAAUAGUUGUAGCUCCCACUUGCUUGAAAUGUGGCUCUUAAAGAAUUUUCCUCAACCAAAUUGCUUGACAAGCACAAGCUGUAGCCGCAACAAAUUCAGCUUCUGUAGUCGACAAUGUGACAAUAGGUUGCUUCUUGGAUGACCAUGAAACAACUGCUAUACCCAUCAGUAAACCCAUACAAAUCUGAACUUUUACCCUUUUUAUAGAACAACCCAAAUUCUCUAGUGCCUUGCAAGUAGCGAAAAAUUCUUUUGGCAGCUAAGAGAUGCAUUUCAAUUGGAUUUUCGAUAUAUCUACUUAUUAAACUCACAGAAUGCAUUAUGUCUGGUCUUGUGGCAGUCAAAUACAUCAAACUACCAACAAUUUGCUUGUAAAGUGUGCUGUCCACUUUCUUGCCUUCAUGAUCUUUGUCUAGCUUCAAGCCAAAUUCAGUUGGAGUACUCACUGGAUUGCAAUCCUUCAUCUGAAAUCUAUCCAAAACCUCUCGCAAAUACUUCUUUUGAGAAACAAAAAUUCCAUUAGUAGAUUGCACUACUUCUAUGCUAAGAAAGUAAUGCAUUAAACCAAGAUCAGUCAUUUCAAAUUCAACCAUCAUAGACUUCUUGAAUUCUUCAAACAUGAGAUUAUCACUUCCAGUAAAUAAGAUCAUCUACAUAUAAGCAAACAAUGAGCAUUUUUCCUCCAUCUCCAGUUUUAACAAAAAGUAUAUGCUCACAUGGACAUUUUCGAAAACCUUCUUUUAAAAAAUAAGCCUCAAUGCGACUAUACCAAACCCGUGGGGCUUGUUUUAAACCAUAAAGAGCUUUUUUUAAUCUAUACACUUUAUGCUUAUUUCCUUUCUUAAUAUAACCAGGAAGUUGAUCAAUAAAUACCUGUUCCUCCAAGUUUUCAUGGAAGAAUGCGGAUUUGACAUCCAACUGGAAGAUAGGCCGUGAAUUUUGGGCUGCCAAUGCAAUCACCAAUCUAAUUGUGUCAUGUCUUGCAACUGGGGCAAAAACUUCUUUAUAGUUGACCCCAUACUCUUGCUUGUAUCCCUUAGCCACCAAUCGCGCCUUAUACUUGUCAACUUCACCAUUUUUCCGUAUUUUUGUCUUGAAAACCCACUUUACACCAAUGGUUUUGUGCCUUUUAGGGAGGUCACAUAGCUCCCAAGUAUUAUUUCUUUCAAUGGUUGCAAUUUCAUCAUCCUUUGCCUUCCGCCACUUUGAUUCUUUGACAGCACUUUAAAAAGUUGCAGGGUCACAAUUUGAAAAUAAAGCAAAGUGAGUAAUGGGAUCUUCAACUUCAUUAAUUUCAGUUACCUCAUAAUAUUUCAUCCAUGCGAGCCUUUUUCGAGCACGAUGAAGAGGUUGAGCUACUACAUCACUAGUUUCUUUUGUUGUUGCUGAAAUUUCUCCAAUUGUUGGAGUUGAACAUGAUGAAUUUUCAGAAUUAGAGACUGAUGGAGUUGGCUGCCCAUUUUCUUCAAUGUCAAAAUCAGAACUGACUGGAGUAGGCUGCUGCCCAUUCCAGUCCCCAGUGCUUUCUUCAUCAAAAAUAAUGUCCCUGCUGAUCACAAUCUUAUUUGUUAGUGGAUUGAACAAUUUAUAUGCUUUGGAUGUAUCACUGACACCUAGGAAGACACACUUUUCACCCUUAUCAUCAUGUUCUUCCUUUUCUUAUCUGGGACAUGUGCAUAAGCGAUGCAACCAAAAAUUCUGAAGUGAUCUGCUGCUGGUCUCCGUCCACUCCAAGCCUCUUCUGGUGUCAUGUUUUGAACAGCAAAAGUAGGGCUUCUGUUCAACACGUGGAUGCUCCAAUUUACUGCUUCCGGCCAAAAACUCUUUGGAAUUCUCCCUCUUGCCAACAAGCUUCUCACCAUAUUAAGGGUGGUUCUAUUUUUUCUCUUCGAUACACCAUUUUGUUGUGGUGUAUAAGCAGCUGUGAGCUCUCUUCGGAUACCAUGAGCCUCACACAAAACCUCAAAUUCUUUUGGGCAAUAUUUGCCACGAAGAUCAGUACAGAGAGUUUUAAUAGUUUGUCCUGUUUCAUUUUCAACACUUGCCUUGAAGCUUUUAAAUGCACUAAAAGCUUUUGAUUUUUCCUGCAAAAAAGAAACCCAAGUUUUUCGAGUAUAUUCGUCAAUGAAGGUAAUUAAGUAUCUUUUACCCCCAUUAGAGGCUGGUUUUAUCGGCCCACAAAUGUUGGAAUGAACAAGCUCUAAGAUAGUUUUUGCUCUCCAAGACUUUCCUUGAGGGAAUGGAGAACGCUGUUGUUUGCCAACAACACAUUCAUCACAAACUUAGGAAGGAGUAAUAAUUUGAGGAAGACGUGUCACCAUAUUUUUCUGCUGGGGAGUCUUUAAUCCACCAAAACUCAAGUGACCAUAACGAAAAUGCCAUAGCCAUGAAGGGUCUUUCACUUCAGCCACCAAGCAAGAUCGAACAGUUUCAAUCUUUAAUGGAAACAACCUGUUUUCACAAGCAUCCUUCUGGAUAGUGAUUAUAUAACCCUUCUCCUGUAAUUGACCAGCACUUAACAAAUUGCUUUUUAAGUUAGGAACAUAGAGGACAUUAGAAAUCUUUUCUAUAAAGCCCAUUCUUGGUUCUUAUCUCAAUAUGACCCUUUCCUAACACAUUAACAGUAGAACAAUCACCAAAACUUACUAUAGAAUGAAAAUCUUUAUUUAAAAAAGAAAAAGAAGACUUACUAACACACAUGUGGUUACUGCAGCCUGUAUCCACAUACCAAACAUCAGACACAGGUUCUUCACUAGCUUAAACAGCCAUUAACAAAGUUUGCUCUUCAUUUUUUCUUGUAAAAUUUGAUGUCUCUCCCUUUUCUUUGUUCUUAGGCAGCUUGGUAAAACAUUCAAAACGAUAAUGACCCAAUUUAUGACAUCUGACGCACUCUACCUUAGAUUUGUCAAACUGUUGAUCAUGUCCUCUGCCUUUGAUUUGAACUUGUUCAUCAUCAGCUUUGAAGUAGCUGCUGCCAUCUCUGUUGCCUUGUCCUCUCCUUCCUCGACCUUUACCUCUACCUCUACCCCUUCCUCUAGAACUUGUAAGAUGAAUAGAGGUAGAAGCCUUUAGAGCUUGCUCCUCUAUAGUUGAACUACGGUUCAUUUUCUGUUCAUGGGCCAACAAGGAGCUUUGGAGUUCAUCAAGAGAGAGUGCAUCUAUGUCUUUAGAUUCUUCAAUUGAGCAGACAACAUAAUCAAACUUUGGUGUCAUGGGCCGCAAUAUUUUCUCCACAAUGGUGACACCCUCCGUCUUCUCACCAUGGAAUCGCAUUUUGUUGCUUAUCUCCAUGGUUCUAGCACAAUAACUAGUGACAGAUUCACCAUCUUUCAUCUGCAGAGUCUCAAAAUCCCUCCUUAAUGCUUGGAGCUGUGCACGCUUCACUCUAGAGGAACCCUGAUAUUUCUUUUACAUGGAAUCCCAAAUAGCCUUGGAGGUUUCUUUAAUAAAAAUUGUUUCCAAGAUGGGAUGAUCAAUUGCCUGGAAGAGGUAAUUUUUGGCUUCCAAGUCCUUUAACUUCAUCUUUUCCAACUCUAUUUGCUGGGCAUCUGUCAAAGCUUCAUCUGCUUUUGGUUCGUCGAUUCCAGAUUCAAUAACCUGCCAAUACUCUUUUGAUCAUAGAAAAUUCUCCAUUAGCAUGCUCUAAUGGUCAUAGUGACCAUCAAAAC
Molecule: unclassified non-coding RNA, 4032 nt
Filed under: Hevea brasiliensis (rubber tree)
Lineage: Eukaryota; Viridiplantae; Streptophyta; Magnoliopsida; Malpighiales; Euphorbiaceae
Source: RNAcentral